UGAUGAUCGAACUAUCUGGUUAUGCAAUGCUCAAUAUGCGGAGAGUAGUGUAUUCUCCCGCUCCUUGCUUGCAAAGAGCGCAUCAAUUCAGACUGUGGUUUGCUUUCCCUACCUUGAUGGUGUUAUUGAACUAGGUGUAACUGAGCAGGUCUCGGAGGAUCCUAAUCUUCUUCAACAUGUCAAAGAUUUUUUACUGAAGUUCUCAAAGCCAAUAUGCUCUAAGAAACCUUUUUCCGCUGCUUAUAAAGAUGAUAAUGGUAAAGAACUAAUGACUGCCAAAUCUGACAAUGAGAUUGUUGAAGUUUUGGCAAUGGAGAACCUCUACUGCUUGACAGGCGUGAACUUUGACGGGAAGGCAGUAAAUGGGAUUCAAAGGAAAAACAAUGAGUUUGGCAUUGAUUCUCUCAAUGAUUUUUCGAAUGGUUGUGAACAAUAUCAUCACCAAGUGGAAAGUCCUUUAAGACUUGAAGGUGUCGAGGGAGGGGCUUCUCGUUUCCAGAGUUUGCAGUUUCUGGAUGAUGACUUCAGUUACGGUUUUCAAGAUUCCAUGAAUCCUAGUGACUGUAUUUCUGAAGCUUUGGCAAAUCAGGAG
RNAcentral lists this unclassified non-coding RNA (592 nucleotides) under Hevea brasiliensis (rubber tree). Lineage: Eukaryota; Viridiplantae; Streptophyta; Magnoliopsida; Malpighiales; Euphorbiaceae. The record is from RNAcentral.